Molecule: transfer RNA, 80 nt
Filed under: Actinobacillus pleuropneumoniae serovar 3 str. JL03
Lineage: Bacteria; Pseudomonadati; Pseudomonadota; Gammaproteobacteria; Pasteurellales; Pasteurellaceae
Description: tRNA-Pro
Rfam family: tRNA
About the family: Transfer RNA (tRNA) molecules are approximately 80 nucleotides in length.
Source: RNAcentral
CGGCGAGUAGCGCAGCUUGGUAGCGCAACUGGUUUGGGACCAGUGGGUCGUAGGUUCAAAUCCUAUCUCGCCGACCACUU